This is a long non-coding RNA of Haliotis rubra (blacklip abalone), 837 nucleotides long. RefSeq lists it as uncharacterized. The transcript is spliced from 2 exons. Lineage: Eukaryota; Metazoa; Mollusca; Gastropoda; Lepetellida; Haliotidae. The record is from RefSeq and is a predicted model, not a curated record.
GGGGAUCCAGGAUGACUCGGGAAAGCCCUUUGAAGAUGAUCUAGAACACCAUUUCCUCCACAAAUAACCAAGGAAAGACCUUCACCCAACGAAGUGGAAAUUAAAGGGACAUGCCUACAAAACGCAUGUGGCCAUGUAAAUGAUAUGGAUGAAUACACUACGUGGACAAUAAAAGAUCAAUAGAACCGUCCAUGAUGUUAUUCCAUGUAAUUAAUAACCAUCUUACCAUCCAGUAACAAUGGAAUGCCAUACCCUCUGUUGUUAAACAUGUGCCAGGUUGUAUAUAACAGUAAAUUGACAGCAGCGCACAGCUGGCCGAGAUAAUGUGUUGAUACAUUUCGUCAAUGAUUUCCUCUUUCUUUAACUUUUUAGUUUUUAUAACAGCCUGAAUCCUGACACAUAUUUAAAAUGUUGUUACUGUAAUAUUAAUUGUGACAAAUAUAUUAUUCAUUUACAUGUACAGUACUUUUGUCACAAUGUUGUAAAAUUUGGAAAACAAUUAAUGCUUAUGUUUCUGCGGUUUUUAAUAUUGACCUACACUGUAUCAUUGGUUGAAUUUGCUUGAUUUUGUGAUCUCUUGUUGUAUAUUUUGUUUAAGUUCAAAAUGAAAAUGCCAGUUGCACAUAAAACAAACUUUAUUAUUUCUAUUCUGCCGUUUUAUAAAUACGUAAUAUUUCAUAGCCAUCAGUAGAUUAGAAGAUAUGUCAAAAGGCCGACUUCAAUCCACAUAUUGAAGAAAAUAUAUAAUUAGUAUUCGAAAAAUGUUAUUUAAUGAUGAUUACAUUUUGUAACUGUGUAUAUUUUUGUAUUAUUUUGUAUUAAAUACAAUAAUUUAUA